Molecule: long non-coding RNA, 840 nt
Organism: Onychostoma macrolepis
Lineage: Eukaryota; Metazoa; Chordata; Actinopteri; Cypriniformes; Cyprinidae
Exons: 4
Source: RefSeq, a predicted model, not a curated record
ACAUACAUCAGAUUAUCCUCAUUGUUUGGGAUUUGUUUUAUGUUCUCAAUCUAUAAUACAUUCUGUCAUUGACACACAAUCACACAUCUGUAAACUUUCAUCUUACAGAAGAUCGGAUCAAUCUGUCUGAAUGUGAAGCUUUAAGACUGGUUUGUGAAGACUACACUGUUAAAAAUUGCUGUUAAUUUACGGCAGAAUUUCAACAGUAUAAUCCUGUUAUGUUCAAAAGCAGUACAUUACUGUUUUUUUCGUUUUUGUGAAAUGACGUAGACACAAUAUAACGGCAUUCUACUGUAUUUAUAACUCGAAGGAAAUAAAACAUUACUAUCCAGUAUUUUUGUAAACUGCAGUGAGCACGCCGGGACUUUCAUCCGUCUUGUUAACAGUGAUAAACGCGCCAAAUGCGACAUCAUCGAGUGCAACUGGAUUUCUGACUCUGUGACUCGGAUUAUAUUAUUCCCAAUUACAGGGUUCAGGUGAAACACCAGGAAGAAGAAUCCAGCACUGGAUGAUCAGCCUUGAGGAGCACAUCAUUUGUGAGGGCAUCCAGCCGGCUUUUCUGUCUGGGCUUGCAGCUGAUUUUUCUACUUACAACAAUUUCAAUCUUCAAUACCAAGCUGAAGACGCAUGCAUGUUGGAAUUUAUUCAAAGGUGGUUCAUCGAGAUAAAUCCGGAAAAGGGACCAGGGCUGGAGGAGUCAUAUCAAAGCUGAUGGGGAAGGUCACCCAGAAAAAGAAAACCGUGAACCCUCGUGUCUGCAGUCUACUUAAAAAAAUUUAUGGAUUUUGAGUUGGACUUUAUACAAGUAUUACACACCACAGACCACACACACACUCACAU